This 466-nucleotide ribosomal RNA is filed under the name uncultured bacterium. RNAcentral's name for it is "bacterial SSU rRNA". It matches the Rfam family "Bacterial small subunit ribosomal RNA", at positions 338 to 795 of the family's 1533-position model. The record is from RNAcentral.
CCUACGGGUCGCACCAGUGGGGAAUAUUGUACAAUGGGCGCAAGCCUGAUCCAGCCAUGCCGCGUGUGUGAAGAAGGCCUUUUGGUUGUAAAGCACUUUAGGCGAGGAGGUGGCUACUUGGAUUAAUACUCUAGGAUAGUGGACGUUACUCGCAGAAUAAGCACCGGCUAACUCUGUGCCAGCAGCCGCGGUAAUACAGAGGGUGCGAGCGUUAAUCGGAUUUACUGGGCGUAAAGCGUGCGUAGGCGGCUUUUUAAGUCGGAUGUGAAAUCCCUGAGCUUAACUUAGGAAUUGCAUUCGAUACUGGGAAGCUAGAGUAUGGGAGAGGAUGGUAGAAUUCCAGGUGUAGCGGUGAAAUGCGUAGAGAUCUGGAGGAAUACCGAUGGCGAAGGCAGCCAUCUGGCCUAAUACUGACGCUGAGGUACGAAAGCAUGGGGAGCAAACAGGAUUAGAUACCCGGGUAGUC